GGCUCAGAUUGAACGCUGGCGGCAUGCUUUACACAUGCAAGUCGAACGGCAGCGGGGAGGAGCUUGCUUCUCUGCCGGCGAGUGGCGAACGGGUGAGUAAUACAUCGGAACGUGUCGAGAAGAGGGGGAUAACCACCCNGCAAGGGUGGCUAAUACCGCAUAAAUUCUGAGGAAGAAAGCUGGGGACCUAUGAAUAGGCCUAGCGCUUUUUGAGCGGCCGAUGUCGGAUUAGCUAGUUGGUGAGGUAAAGGCUCACCAAUGCGAAGAUCUGUAGCGGGUCUGAGAGGAUGAUCCGCCACACUGGGACUGAGACACGGCCCAGACUCCUACGGGAGGCAGCAGUGGGGAAUUUUGGACAAUGGGGGCAACCCUGAUCCAGCCAUGCCGCGUGUAUGAAGAAGCCCUUAGGGUUGUAAAGUACUUUUGUUAGGGAAGAAAAGUCAGCUGUGAAUAAUGGCUGAUACUGACGGUACCUAAAGAAUAAGCACCGGCUAACUACGUGCCAGCAGCCGCGGUAAUACGUAGGGUGCGAGCGUUAAUCGGAAUUAUUGGGCGUAAAGCGAGCGUAGACGGUUAUUUAAGCCAGAUGUGAAAUACCCGAGCCUAACUUGGGAGGUGCAUAUGGAACUGGGUAGCUAGAGUGUGUCAGAGGGAGGUAGAACUCCACGUGUAGCAGUGAAAUGCGUAGAGAUGUGGAAGAAUACCGAUGGCGAAGGCGGCCUCCUGGG
This 728-nucleotide ribosomal RNA is filed under the name uncultured Neisseriales bacterium. RNAcentral describes it as "bacterial SSU rRNA". It matches the Rfam family "Bacterial small subunit ribosomal RNA", at positions 21 to 733 of the family's 1533-position model. The record is from RNAcentral. Lineage: Bacteria; Pseudomonadati; Pseudomonadota; Betaproteobacteria; Neisseriales.